UCGGGAAUUUUGGGCAAUGGGCGCAAGCCUGAUCCAGCCAUGCCGCGUGGAUGAUGAAGGCCUUAGGGUUGUAAAAUCCUUUCGUGGGGGACGAUAAUGACGGUACCCCAAGAAGAAGCUCCGGCUAACUUCGUGCCAGCAGCCGCGGUAAUACGAAGGGGGCUAGCGUUGUUCGGAUUUACUGGGCGUAAAGCGCGUGUAGGCGGGUCGUUAAGUUGGGGGUGAAAUCCCGAGGCUCAACCUCGGAACUGCCUUCAAAACUGGCGACCUGGACCCAAGUAGAGGCAAGUGGAAUUGCGAGUGUAGAGGUGAAAUUCGUAGAUAUUCGCAGGAACACCAGUGGCGAAGGCGACUUGCUGGGCUUGUAGUGACGCUGAGACGCGAAAGCGUGGGGAGCAAACAGGAUUAGAUACCCAAGUAGUCCCUGAGCGGGCUGGCAAGGCGCAU
RNAcentral lists this ribosomal RNA (447 nucleotides) under uncultured bacterium. Its description in RNAcentral is "bacterial SSU rRNA". It matches the Rfam family "Bacterial small subunit ribosomal RNA", at positions 355 to 825 of the family's 1533-position model. The record is from RNAcentral.